ACACAUGCAAGUCGAACGGUAGCACAGAGGAGCUUGCUCCUUGGGUGACGAGUGGCAGACGGGUGAGUGAUGUCUGGGAAACUGCCCGAGGGAGGGCGAUAACUACUGGAGACGGUACCUUAGACCGCAUAACCUAAUACGACCAAACAGGGGGAUCCUCAGGCCUUUUGUUAUCGGAGGGGCCCAGAUGGUAUCUUCUGGUAGGUGGGGUAACGGCUCACCUAGUUGACGAUCCCUAGCUGGUCUGAGAGGAUGACCACCCACACUGGAACUGAGACACGGUCGAGACUCCUACGGGAGGCAACAGUGGGGAAUAUUGCAGAAUGGGCGCAAGCCUGAUGCUCCCCUGCCGCGUGUAUUCAGAAGGACUUCUGGUUGUAAAGUACUUACAGCGAUGAGGACGGUGUUCUGUUCUAUUACCGCAAAGAUUGAUGUUACUCCAAUAAUAAGCGCCCGCUAACU
This 462-nucleotide ribosomal RNA is filed under the name Citrobacter sp. RNAcentral describes it as "bacterial SSU rRNA". It matches the Rfam family "Bacterial small subunit ribosomal RNA", at positions 51 to 502 of the family's 1533-position model. Lineage: Bacteria; Pseudomonadati; Pseudomonadota; Gammaproteobacteria; Enterobacterales; Enterobacteriaceae. The record is from RNAcentral.